Molecule: ribosomal RNA, 492 nt
Filed under: uncultured bacterium
Lineage: Bacteria
Description: partial 16S ribosomal RNA
Rfam family: Bacterial small subunit ribosomal RNA
Source: RNAcentral
AGUGAACGCUGGCGGUAGGCCUAACACAUGCAAGUCGAACGGCAGCACAGUAAGAGCUUGCUCUUACGGGUGGCGAGUGGCGGACGGGUGAGGAAUACAUCGGAAUCUACUUUUUCGUGGGGGAUAGCGUAGGGAAACUUACGCUAAUACCGCAUACGACCUACGGGUGAAAGCAGGGGAUCUUCGGACCUUGCGCGAUUGAAUGGGCCGAUGUCGGAUUAGCUAGUUGGCGGGGUAAGGGCCCACCAAGGCGACGAUCCGUAGCUGGUCUGAGAGGAUGAUCAGCCACACUGGAACUGAGACACGGUCCAGACUCCUACGGGAGGCAGCAGUGGGGAAUAUUGGACAAUGGGCGCAAGCCUGAUCCAGCCAUACCGCGUGGGUGAAGAAGGCCUUCGGGUUGUAAAGCCCUUUUGUUGGGAAAGAAAAGCAGCAGGUUAAUACCCCGCUGUUCUGACGGUACCCAAAGAAUAAGCACCGGCUAACUUCGUG